Molecule: long non-coding RNA, 441 nt
Organism: Pezoporus occidentalis (night parrot)
Lineage: Eukaryota; Metazoa; Chordata; Aves; Psittaciformes; Psittacidae
Exons: 2
Source: RefSeq, a predicted model, not a curated record
GUGGGUUCCUAGGAGUGAGCAGUAAUGGAGAAACAAGCCGACAUUGAUGCCCAACCCACCAGCAAGAGAGGAGCCAUCUCUCCUCAGCCAUACUGGAAGCUGCUGCUUCUGUCGACAGGUUGCUUUGCUGGCCAAUUCUUCUCCUUAAAAGUCAAGACAAGUAAUUGCUAUAAGCUGUCACAGGCUGUUCUCCUCACCUACAUAUCGUAUUUGAACUGAGGAACAACUUUCAUCAUCUUACCAGCACAGGAAAAAUAAUAUGGAUGCUUCCAAAUGAUUAAAAAUCAGAAGAGGGAAUGCUGAGGACUGUAGCCAGCUCAAGAAAAUUCAGCUCUGUUUAAGCAAGGCUAUAUAUUUUUAUGUUCAAGAAGUUUUAACACUUCCCAGUCUCACCUCAGCAGAUUUCAUUUUCUUGGAAUAAAUUGUUAGCAUUUGUAUAAA